CUCGCUGCGAUCUAUUGAAAG
This 21-nucleotide non-coding RNA is filed under the name Mus musculus (house mouse). The record is from RNAcentral. Lineage: Eukaryota; Metazoa; Chordata; Mammalia; Rodentia; Muridae.